UCCAGACUCCUACGGGAGGCAGCAGUGAGGAAUAUUGGUCAAUGGGCGGAAGCCUGAACCAGCCAAGUCGCGUGAGGGAAGAAGGCCCUGCGGGUCGCAGACCUCUUUGGACGGGGAGCAAGGCCGCCGACGUGUCGGCGGAAGGAGAGUACCCGUAGAACAAGCAUCGGCUAACUCCGUGCCAGCAGCCGCGGUAAUACGUAGGGGGCAAGCGUUAUCCGGAUUUACUGGGUGUAAAGGGAGUGUAGGUGGCAUAACAAGUCAGAAGUGAAAGCCCGGGGCUCAACCGCGGGACUGCUUUUGAAACUGUUAAGCUUGAGUGCAGGAGAGGUAAGCGGAAUUCCUAGUGUAGCGGUGAAAUGCGUAGAUAUUAGGAGGAACACCAGUGGCGAAGGCGGCUUACUGGACUGUAACUGACACUGAGGCUCGAAAGCGUGGGGAGCAAACAGGAUUAGAUACCCGGGUA
This 466-nucleotide ribosomal RNA is filed under the name uncultured bacterium. RNAcentral's name for it is "bacterial SSU rRNA". It matches the Rfam family "Bacterial small subunit ribosomal RNA", at positions 330 to 792 of the family's 1533-position model. The record is from RNAcentral.